CUCGCAGGCAGGCGAGGUGCGCGUAGUACGUGGGCGUGGGGUAGGACACGGAGCGCAUGCAGCGCGAGUACAGGUGGCACAGGUAGUAUGUGAGCUGCUCCACCUCGUGGUCCUUCAGGUUGCCGUCGUUGCACACGGCGUGGUAGCGCGUGGGACGCGCGGUGCCCUUGAUGGCUUGGUGCGAUACC
Molecule: long non-coding RNA, 188 nt
Organism: Leguminivora glycinivorella
Lineage: Eukaryota; Metazoa; Arthropoda; Insecta; Lepidoptera; Tortricidae
Exons: 2
Source: RefSeq, a predicted model, not a curated record